UAGCACCACUCUGGGCUUCCCAAGUUAAAGAAAGUUUACAAGGCCCCGGAAAUAGCUCAGGUGCCAGCAGGCUCUGGAGAAGCAGGCUAGGGAAGCAGAGGGAGGAGGAGGAGGAACAGGAAAAGGAAGGGAAGGAGGAGGAGGGGGAGGAGGAGUAGCUAACAUGGGCUGGCCACAGGGCUAGGCAGCAAAAGGGGGAACAAAUUAGACAUAUUCCUGCCCUUGGGUGGCUUACACCUCUGCAGGGGAAUUAAGUCAAGAUUACAAUGCCUACGAAUCAGAACAGUAGGGGGCAAGGCAGGUAGGAGGGUUUAGAGAGAUGUGAGAGGCUUUGGAAAGUGUGUGGGGAAGUAGAAAGACUUCAGGGGCAGAUGGACUCUGAACCCCAGCAUUCCUACCAGUGGGUGUGAUAUUCUGAGGCAAGUCAGAGAAGCUCUCUGAAACUUAAAUUUUCUACAUUAGAAAAUUGGGAUAAUCCUACUGAUACAGGAGGAAGGCAGGGAAGUGCUGGGAGGAGAAGGGUGUAGUCCCUGGCUAGGGCUCCACUCCCGGGCCUGGGCCCACGGACCUAGGUGAGGACAAGCAUUUCUGCUUUUGUGGUCAAAUGUUACAUUUUCCAAGAACACCCUGGCCGGCCACACCCCCAUCCUGUGCCUAUAAAAACCCCGAGACCCUAGUGGGCAGAGGCGCAAGUGGCUGGACGUCAAGAGGAACACUCUGGAGGAAGAGCACACCAACAGGCACUGGCAGAUGCAGGCAGGCCAUUGACUGGUGGAACAACACGGAGUUUGGCUGGGGUGGUCAGAGGAGAGUCCGGCUGCUAUGCAGCCUGACUCAAGGGGAAAACCUCUUCCCACUCCAACCCCCUUCUAACUCCCCAUCCAUCUGCCUGCCGAGAGCUACUUCCAUUCAAUAAAACCUUACACUCAUUCUCCAAGCCCAUGCGUGAUCUGAUUUUUCUGUUACACUAAGGCAAGAACCUGGGAUACAGAAAGCCCUCUGUCCUUGCAAUAAGGCAGAGGAUCUAAUUGAGCUGAUUAACACAAGCUGCCUGCAGAUGGCUAAACUGAAAGAGCACACUAUAACACACACCCACUGGGGCCUCAGGAGCUGUAAAUAUUCACCCCUAGAUGCUGCUGUGGUAUCAAAGCCCGCGCUCCCCACAACCGGCCUGUCUGCCUGCUCCCCUUAGGGAUAUGAGCAGUGGGGCACCAAAGUGAGCCACACCCCAGUGGCAUGCCCUGUGAGGAAGAUAAGGAAACUUUUUCCAUUUCACAACUCACCUAAUAAAGCUCAAGUGGUGACUAAGUCAGGAAAUAGAAGUACAAGAUCUUGUGUGGAGUAGGAAUUUAACUAACAGCAGCCAUUGCUGUUAUUAUUUAGAGCAGGGAUUGGCAAAAUAUGACCCUUGGGCCAAAUCUGUUCCACCGCUUGUUUUUGUACAGUCUGUGAGCUAAAAAGGAUUGCUGCAUUUUUAAAUGUUUUAGAAAGAAACAAAAGAAGAAUACUAUUUCAUGACACAUGAGCAUUGUAUGAAAUUCAAAUUUCCAUGUCCAUAAAUAAAAGUUUUACUGGAACACACCAUGCUCAUUUGUUUACAUGUUGUCUAUGGUUUAUUUUGUUCCACAACUGCAGAGUUGAGAAGUUAGUUGUGACAGAGACCAUACGGCCCAGAAGGCCUAAAUCAUGUACC
Molecule: long non-coding RNA, 1693 nt
Organism: Macaca fascicularis (crab-eating macaque)
Lineage: Eukaryota; Metazoa; Chordata; Mammalia; Primates; Cercopithecidae
Source: Ensembl